ACGUAGGAGGCGAGCGUUAUCCGGAUUUACUGGGCGUAAAGCGUGCGUAGGCGGUUUGAUAAGUUGGUUGUGAAAGCUCCUGGCUUAACUGGGAGAGGGCGUUCAAAACUAUCAGACUUGAGAGUGGUCGAGGGAGGUGGAAUUCCGCAUGUAGUGGUGAAAUGCUUAGAUAUGCGGAGGAACACCAGUGGCGAAAGCGGCCUCCUGGAUCAUUUCUGACGCUCAGACACGAAAGCUAGGGUAUCAAACGG
This 251-nucleotide ribosomal RNA is filed under the name uncultured prokaryote. RNAcentral's name for it is "partial 16S rRNA". It matches the Rfam family "Bacterial small subunit ribosomal RNA", at positions 525 to 775 of the family's 1533-position model. The record is from RNAcentral.